UUAAAUUGAAGAGUUUGAUCAUGGCUCAGAUUGAACGCUGGCGGCAGGCCUAACACAUGCAAGUCGAACGGUAACAGGAAGCAGCUUGCUGCUUUGCUGACGAGUGGCGGACGGGUGAGUAAUGUCUGGGAAACUGCCUGAUGGAGGGGGAUAACUACUGGAAACGGUGGCUAAUACCGCAUAACGUCGCAAGACCAAAGAGGGGGACCUUCGGGCCUCUUGCCAUCAGAUGUGCCCAGAUGGGAUUAGCUUGUUGGUGAGGUAACGGCUCACCAAGGCGACGAUCCCUAGCUGGUCUGAGAGGAUGACCAGCCACACUGGAACUGAGACACNNNNNAGACUCCUACGGGAGGCAGCAGUGGGGAAUAUUGCACAAUGGGCGCAAGCCUGAUGCAGCCAUGCCGCGUGUAUGAAGAAGGCCUUCGGGUUGUAAAGUACUUUCAGCGGGGAGGAAGGUGUUGUGGUUAAUAACCGCAGCAAUUGACGUUACCCGCAGAAGAAGCACCGGCUAACUCCGUGCCAGCAGCCGCGGUAAUACGGAGGGUGCAAGCGUUAAUCGGAAUUACUGGGCGUAAAGCGCACGCAGGCGGUCUGUCAAGUCGGAUGUGAAAUCCCCGGGCUCAACCUGGGAACUGCAUUCGAAACUGGCAGGCUUGAGUCUUGUAGAGGGGGGUAGAAUUCCAGGUGUAGCGGUGAAAUGCGUAGAGAUCUGGAGGAAUACCGGUGGCGAAGGCGGCCCCCUGGACAAAGACUGACGCUCAGGUGCGAAAGCGUGGGGAGCAAACAGGAUUAGAUACCCUGGUAGUCCACGCCGUAAACGAUGUCUACUUGGAGGUUGUGCCCUUGAGGCGUGGCUUCCGGAGCUAACGCGUUAAGUAGACCGCCUGGGGAGUACGGCCGCAAGGUUAAAACUCAAAUGAAUUGACGGGGGCCCGCACAAGCGGUGGAGCAUGUGGUUUAAUUCGAUGCAACGCGAAGAACCUUACCUGGUCUUGACAUCCACAGAAGAAUCCAGAGAUGGAUUUGUGCCUUCGGGAACUGUGAGACAGGUGCUGCAUGGCUGUCGUCAGCUCGUGUUGUGAAAUGUUGGGUUAAGUCCCGCAACGAGCGCAACCCUUAUCCUUUGUUGCCAGCGGUUAGGCCGGGAACUCAAAGGAGACUGCCAGUGAUAAACUGGAGGAAGGUGGGGAUGACGUCAAGUCAUCAUGGCCCUUACGACCAGGGCUACACACGUGCUACAAUGGCGCAUACAAAGAGAAGCGACCUCGCGAGAGCAAGCGGACCUCAUAAAGUGCGUCGUAGUCCGGAUUGGAGUCUGCAACUCGACUCCAUGAAGUCGGAAUCGCUAGUAAUCGUGGAUCAGAAUGCCACGGUGAAUACGUUCCCGGGCCUUGUACACACCGCCCGUCACACCAUGGGAGUGGGUUGCAAAAGAAGUAGGUAGCUUAACCUUCGGGAGGGCGCUUACCACUUUGUGAUUCAUGACUGGGGUGAAGUCGUAACAAGGUAACCGUAGGGGAACCUGCGGUUGGAUCACCUCCUUACCUUAAAGAAGC
RNAcentral lists this ribosomal RNA (1556 nucleotides) under Salmonella enterica subsp. enterica serovar Enteritidis str. EC20120774. RNAcentral describes it as "bacterial SSU rRNA". It matches the Rfam family "Bacterial small subunit ribosomal RNA". The record is from RNAcentral. Lineage: Bacteria; Pseudomonadati; Pseudomonadota; Gammaproteobacteria; Enterobacterales; Enterobacteriaceae.